AGAAUGUGGAGCUAAGCUGAAAGGAAGUCUGGAAGAUAGAAGAAACUACGGUCCAUUCACUUAAGUUGGAUCCCCAGCAGGGGCUUUAUACUUAGACAGGCUGGUAAGGACACUGCUGAUUGGGUGCUGGCAGGCUGUAUCUGACAUCUGUCACCCACCAUCCUCAUGUAAGUUCAGAAAAUACUCAUAUUUCUAUACUUGAUCCACUUGUUGCACAUGGGAAAAUUUUGUUUAUAGCACUGGAUUAAGCAGUGGUUUUGUACUUGUUACAUUAUUUUUAGAAUGUAAUUGGGAAUAAAGUAUAGGCCAUUAUAAAUCAGAGGAUAACAAUAUUGCACAACUUUUACUUAUUGAAAUUUGCAGCAUUUUGUAAUUUUAGAGUAAUACUGGCUAACAGAAAGCAAAAUGCUGCAAAAGGUUGUGGAUGAAUUUGAGAGGAUGUAGAAGAGAAGGUUGACAGUAAAUGUUUAAGAGUAAGGUUAUGGUGUUUGAGAGGCAAGAGAGAAGAUCAUAGUUUCCAAAACCAUAUAGAGUCAGAGCAGAGAGCACAACUGUGUAAGAUAUGGUUAGAAGAGGAGACGGAGAAAGUAAUUGAGUUUAAGGGAUAGUUUAAUGAAAGCAUGGAGGGAGAGAGCAGUGAAUGGCAGGCAGGUGCUUUGGAAAGAGUAAUGAAAGAAAGAAGUGUGAACAUGGGGGUGAAAAAUGGUAUAAGAAGUAGUAUUAUCCUCCCAACUCAGCCAUAUGCAUCAGAGACAUGGUCAUGAAAGGUAGCACAGCAGUCAUGAAUGCACUCUGGAAAUUAACUAUAAAAAAGUAUACAUGUGGUGCGUUGGGAUGGGGAUGCAGAAAGCAAGGAAAGCAUGUAUGAGAGAUUUAUUAUGGGUGUAACAGCAAAGGGUGUGGAUCGUGAAGUGGUUGAAUGGGUGAGACGUGUAGGUCUGAGUUGGUUUGGAAAUGCGACGAGAAUUAAUGAGGACAACGUUGUGGAGAGAGUAUGAUGGAAUGAUUGAGGGAGAGGGUGUUAGGGGAAGACCACCUGUGUAAUGGAUUAAUAGAGUGGACAAGUAUUGGAGGGAGCUUAAGUGAAUGGACUAUACUUGGUCUUCAGUUGUAAGGUAACUGGAGAGAGUGGAUAAAUUAGGUUUUGAGUGUGCUGGGAGGGAGUGCUGUAACAGGGAAAACUGAAGACCCUUGAGAGGUUCCUGUGAGGGAACAGGGCAUAGGAGAUAUAGAUAGAUACAGAAACCCCUCUUCAAUACUCUGGCACUUCAGGUUUUAGAUAGUGCAAUAUAAAAUGAUUUAUAUUUUUUCUUAUCGAUUUAAAAAUAUUUGUAAUUGUACACUUACUGCUUAAUCCAAUAAUGUAAAUAAGAUUUGCCUAAUUAAUGUAACAGGUGAGCUAAGUAAAGAAAUAUAAAUGUGUAGCAAGCUUAUGUGGGCAUGUUGAGUGCUGGAGCAUUCAGACACCCUGCCACCAACACCUGAUCAGCAGCAACCUUACCUGCCUGGCUAGAGGAGUAGAGGUAGAACCACUGUUGGGGGAUCCAGCUCAAGUGAAUGAACUAUGGUUGGUCUUCAGAUGUGUGGUAACUGAAGAGUAGGGAAGGACCAGAUGCAUGUGCAGUGUACUGCAGACCCUGGCAAAUGUGGCUCCCAUCCAAGAACGUGAUCCCAGGCAGUCAGGUCUCCCAAGAAGCUGUCUUAACCUGUUGGGGGAGAAUGAAAGAUUGUCAACUCACACAAGCACUUUCUUUUACAGUAAAAUGUUAAUUUUAAUUCACUUUUUAUGGUUAAAAUGUGGUUUAAUUAUUUCACAUGCUGUUGGCAGGCAGUGUCUUGACAUCCCCAUUGCUCUUUCACAUAUUUCUAACUUAACAUGUACUAUGCAAGAUACACCCAUUUUGUUGACAUUCAAUUAAUCAGUGAUGAAUUAUGAUGAGUAGGAGUAACAUUUAUCAAUAUAUGCAGCAAUUAGAAUACAUUAGAAAUUUAAUUUUUCUCGUACACAAACUAACCAUGAUUGCAAACAGGGUUGGUGAUUUAAUCAAAUUAUUUAAUCAUUUUGAUCAAAUGAUUUAAUCAUUUUGAUUUAAUUAUUGCCAACCCUGAUUGCAAAUAAUUGUAGCAAUCCGAUUUUGAGUAAAAUGUGAUACAAGGAAGUGUUAUGAGUAUUAAAUGUUGCAAUUGUAAUAUUAUCUCAUCGCAGUUACUAUUCUUUGAGAGAUUUAAGAAUUUUUCUGAACCUAGUAACUGUGUUGAGUGAUGAAGAUGCGAGACACCCAGCCAGGGAUCCAGCUGAAGUGAAUGGACGAUAUGGUAUUACAGGACCAUAACACUACAUUCAACUCACGGACGAGAUUGGAUAUGCGUGACCGCACUGCCCCGAAGCUGACUGGUAAACGAGCCUUGGCGUUUGAUGCAGGCGGGAGAUCGACUCGCCAAACCUCUGUUCGAACGAGCAAGCGAACCCCGCCUUCUUGAUAGUUCAGAAAACAGAUGGUUGUUUGAGUAGUUGUUAAGUGGUUUAAGUAGUGUUUAAGCAGAGGAGACUUCCUAUGUUUCGGCUCACAACUUGUAAAAGGCAUAACGGCAUAUCAACAUCUUUAUACUAUACCUACGUGUCAGACCAGCUAUAUUAAUUGAGUUUGUAACAAUUGAAUGAUUUACAGGAAUAGAUGAAGCAAUCUAAUUUGAUAAAGAAACAACGGUAUGGUAAACCAGCCAAUUUAAGUGAUAGCACCAACCACGCAAAUACAGUAACCAUCCAUACAUGAAUUCUAAUACUCAAUAGCAAAACAUGAAUAGAUGAAAAAUGUCCACUAAAACACCAUUCCCGCAAAACAACUAAAUAAAAAAGUACUUCUAGAGUUGAAAUGGAGAAUUACACUAAACAAACCUGAUUAACUAUCCUAAACUCAUCAUAUUAUUUCAUUCAACAUUAGUCUGGUUGUCAUUAUAGUGCUCAUUCUUAAUUACAAGAAACCUAGGGAAACGGGUAAUUAUCUCUCAUUCCCUUUUUCUCUUUUCUUAACUUCUAUUUCUGAUUCUCUCUUUCUUUCUUACUCCUCUGUUUGACCCUUUCCCUGACAAUACCGUCGCACACCACUCGUUUCUGAGCUACUUUAUUUCUUUAGAGGAGAUUGGAUCGGCAGUAGAUUAAUCAUUAGCUUCAAUGGCCUUCCUAUGUCUGUAUGUAUUUCUUCCUGUCUACGUUACCUUGAGCUGUGUCCUUUACUGUAGGAAGAAGAAAAAAAGAUAGACUACUGUUAUUUUAGAGGUGACCGGUUUACAGUUUAGCAUAUAUUACUAACUUGAGGUGAUGCUGACCUACAACUAACUCCCAACAAAUUACAUAAAACCUUUGUGAAGAUUGAAACUUGAUAACUUACUACUUGCCUUGUUAGUCCAUUGCCUAUUAACUUUCACCCCCAACAGACGUAGCCAUUUUUUUCAAGACAUGGCAUUAGUAUUUAUGAAGUUAUAUGGCUAAUUAAUUUGCCUUUUUAAUUACCUUUUUGGGACAGAGGUAGUUUGAGGUGUUGGAUUUCCACAAGUUGGCAUGAUAGGAAUGCAGUCAUAAAAAGUUAUAUAGAAAAAUCAAUAAAACUGAAAAAAAAGUGUAAAAAAAGAUAUAUCAAGCACAUUAUUGAUGACCAAUAGGAUUUAAAAAAAAAAAAAAAAAAAAAAAAAAAAAGACUAGAUACAGCCAUGCCACCCUAUAACCAUGAAAAUCUAAGUCCCCAUCAGUCCUUCUACACAGCAAUCCAAACCUUGAAGCACACUUCACACUAGGUCAGCCUGGCGUGGCGUUUACAACUUUUUUUUUACCAUGACCGGUGUCUGUUGAGUUCACUAAACAUCCUUCACCCAUUAUAGGACUCCUGGAUAAUUUGUCAAAAUUUCCCAGCAACAACAAAAAGGUUUAGAUGAACUUAAUUUACUCACACACCAUAUGGUAGCUCUAUAUAUAUUUUAGUACCUUUUCAGCUACACUAGACAUAUGAAUAAUUGGAAAUUACUGUCAGCCAUACAUUUAAUCAUUUAGUAACUUGAGAUGAUGCAAAACGGUGGUUUCGUUUUCUUUCCUGGCAAGGAUAUCUUCUCAAAACUACUUAUGCACACAAAAAUGAAAGUAAUAAGUGAAAGACCCUUAAUGAUAAAAGUUCAAAAAAUCUCUACACCUAUAAUGCUGGCCAUCAAGAACAGUAUUGAAGGUGGUCAGUUAAUACCUACAGUAUGGAAUUGAUAUGUAACCUAACUAAUUAUGCAUUCAAAUUAAUGUUACUAAAUAAUUCAUUUAAAAAGGUUUCUAAUGUUAGCUAAUAAGAACAGAAGUUAGAUCUCGCAUCCAACAAUUAAACACAUCUAAAGAAUUUGCAUCUAAUGACACUAUUAUACCUCUACCAGUAUUCAUAUCUUACGAAGAAAUUUUGAAUCUAAUGAAAAGAUACUAGUUGAGUUAUUCAAUUACAAUUUAAGCACUUUCCUCCAUUAUAUUAUAAUAAGGACAGAUGUCACCGGACUAUUAUGUACACAAAUUAAAUACAAACACCUACCUCUACCACUAAUCACUACAAGCAGCACUACAGUACAAUCACUUACCUCCAGUAGUAAGGGAAGGUGUGUUGCCUGUCCUCAGGUGACACACACCACCACACACUGGCUGCACCUCUUCCUAAGGCAGCCAUGGCUUUGAAGGGAGUGUGAAUGGUUAUGAAUGAAAAGGAGAUACAUAUGUAUAGGUAGAAAUUUUGUUGGAUGUAUGUGGCUAUGCCAUUGUCAUUCAUCUCUAGAUCAUUGUAUGUUAAAAGAAGUGAAAAUUGUAGCAUCUAUUAAUCUUGCACAACAAACAUGGUUCAUUACAGUGUUAAAACAGCCAUGUCUCUUUACAACUUAAAUUUUCAUGAGGAAUUUCCCCACACAAGACAUUUAUCAAUCACUAUGAUCUUGGUACAGCUGUUGGCUACCUGCCAUGCACUAAUUAGACCACACCUGAAAGCUGUGCACCUGUCCUCCACCUGCCAGCCUCACGUGUGCUGCGCCAGCCUCCAUGCCACAUCUCCAGGAUAUUUAUCAUAUAUAGUUUGCAUGUAAUGGUAUUUUAUUUUUAUCUUUUGGGGGAACAGUCUGAAAGAGUCUAUGCAAUGAUUUAUUAUAUAACACAGUACAAAUAAUUUGUGUUCCGAUGGAAACGAUACUAUACUGAGGCCACAUACUAAAAAGUCACCAUUGCAGUUGUUUUCUGGAAGCCUUAGCAAAGAUCUGCAUCAUAAUCCAAUGACAUGUUUGUAUAAUAUCCUAUAUCUUUAACAGACCAAACUAGUUAAUCCCAAUGCAAACAUUUUUUAUACUCCUCUUCAAAGAAUGUGAGAGAUGAAUGAUUCCAGAUGGCUUAAAUAUUAGUUAUGAUACAAGUGACCAGUUUUCACCACAUGGGAGUAACCUAGUUCUGCUGUCUAUCUGUCUGUCUGUCUGUCUCCUCACACACCUGCCUCAGCCUCCUCACACCUUCCAAGAUGAGCAUUUACUGGGACGACCAUCAUUAGGAACAAAUAAAGUAUCACCGGAAUGGAGUUUCACUGGUUUUGGUGUGUGUAUGUAGCGCGCGCACACACACACACACACACACACA
This is a long non-coding RNA of Eriocheir sinensis (Chinese mitten crab), 5632 nucleotides long. RefSeq lists it as uncharacterized. The transcript has 3 exons. The record is from RefSeq and is a predicted model, not a curated record. Lineage: Eukaryota; Metazoa; Arthropoda; Malacostraca; Decapoda; Varunidae.